This 468-nucleotide ribosomal RNA is filed under the name uncultured bacterium. RNAcentral's name for it is "partial 16S ribosomal RNA". It matches the Rfam family "Bacterial small subunit ribosomal RNA", at positions 28 to 507 of the family's 1533-position model. The record is from RNAcentral.
GACGAACGCUGGCGGCGUGCUUAACACAUGCAAGUCGAACGGAAAGGCCCUGCUUUUGUGGGGUGCUCGAGUGGCGAACGGGUGAGUAACACGUGAGUAACCUGCCCUUGACUUUGGGAUAACUUCAGGAAACUGGGGCUAAUACCGGAUAGGAGUUCCUGCUGCAUGGUGGGGGUUGGAAAGUUUCGGCGGUUGGGGAUGGACUCGCGGCUUAUCAGCUUGUUGGUGGGGUAGUGGCUUACCAAGGCUUUGACGGGUAGCCGGCCUGAGAGGGUGACCGGCCACAUUGGGACUGCGAUACGGCCCAGACUCCUACGGGAGGCAGCAGUGGGGAAUAUUGCACAAUGGGCGGAAGCCUGAUGCAGCAACGCCGCGUGCGGGAUGACGGCCUUCGGGUUGUAAACCGCUUUCGCCUGUGACGAAGCGUGAGUGACGGUAAUGGGUAAAGAAGCACCGGCUAACUACGUG